This is a long non-coding RNA of Sphaerodactylus townsendi, 436 nucleotides long. RefSeq lists it as uncharacterized. Lineage: Eukaryota; Metazoa; Chordata; Lepidosauria; Squamata; Sphaerodactylidae. The record is from RefSeq and is a predicted model, not a curated record. The transcript has 2 exons.
CCGGGGAUGACAGGGCGCUGCGCGGAGUCCGCUGGGUGUGAUCAAGUGGCUGGAAUCCACUGGAAAGUGUUCAGGAUUCUUCCCUUGGUUUCUGUGGGCUGCCACGUCUACCCUGCCUUCAAGCGGCCACUUUUCCAGCUUGCAGUAUGUCUGAUGUAGUCUUCGAAUUAUCUCUUUCUAGAAAUCUUGAGAGAACAAUUCAAAAAUAAUUUUCCAUUCUAUUAUGAUUUGAACUUGUACUUUGCUUUUAAACAUCAUGAAUGUAAAGAGUUGGCUGGAAAAUUAUCUAAGACAAAGUCACAUUUUGCUGAAGUGAUUUGUACCAGGUGACUGCGGCAGAAAAGUCAAUGCCUGUGACUUUCUAGUCUCUUAAAUAAGUAGUGAAUUGACUGUGCAGCAACUUAAAUUUCAAACAAUAUAUCUGCAAUCAAGACCA